UACUUGGGAGGCUGAGGCAGGAGAAUUACUUGAGCCCAGGAUGUCAAGGCUGUAGCGAAUCAUGCCACUGCACUCCAGCCUAGGCAAUAGAGCAAGGCCCUGCCUCAAUAAAUAAAGAAAGAAAGAAACUAAAAAAAAAUAUGUCUAUAUACAGACACACACACACACACACACACACAUAUUAUAUAUAUAUAAUUUAAUUUGGCUGGGUGUGGUGGCUCACGCCUGUAAUCCUAGCACUUUGGGAGGCCAAGGCAGGUGGAUUAUGAGGUCAGGAGUUCAAGACCAGCUNNNNNNNNNNNNNNNNNNNNNNNNNAGAAACCCUCAGGAUGGCUUGCACUGAAGCUAACCUGACAUGGUGAGUAGCCUGUCUUCAGCCAAUUCUACUGAUAAACUCUGUGAAAGUUAGAAGUAAAGUACAUGGUACCCUGUUUUACUUCCUUCACUAUGAUAGCUUUCUCUUUUCUAAGUUAAAUCUCUCUUACUGUUUUCCUUAUUGGUAUUUUAACGAGACUUCAAUUACAUUGACAUACAAUGUUGCAUCCAGUGUUUCAGAACUCCCUGGGGACUGGACCCAGGAAUAUAUGCUCUGGUCAAUGCAGCAGAGCCUUCAACAGAUCUUCCGACACCUGGAAAGCAUAAGGUCAAGCCUUAUGGAACAGGAUUUGCCUGAACCACAGGAUACAAUUUCUUCCUCUACCUCCUCUGUUCUUGGGUCUCAGAAGACUGUUCGAUGCUGUUGUGACUAUAAGAAAGCAAGACAUUCUACUGACCACAGCAUCUCCUUUAGAUCAUCAUGCAGUAACUCCAGUCUGUCUCAUCUUCCUGUCUUUUUUGAAGGAACAACUUGGGAAUAUCAGAGCCAUAGUUUACCUAUUUCCCACAAAAGGCGGUCAUCUGUGUUUGAGAACCAAGGCACAACCCUACCUCCUUUUCAGCUAUCAGAGCCCCAGAAAUCAAAAGUAACUCCUGUAGCACUGCUUCAAGGUAUGGAUUCUAUGGGGAUGAUUAACAAAUCACAUCCACAUACAGAAUCAGUAGGAAUGACUCCAACACCACAACAUCAAGCCAUAGAGUCAGUGAAGAUGAACACAUUAUUGAACCAUCAAGUCACAAAAUCAGAUAAGAUGAAUCUAAGGCCACAACGUGCAGUUAUGGAAACUGGGGAAAUGAUGCCAGGGCCACAGCAUAAAGUCAUGGAAUCAAUUGGCAUGACCUCAGGAUCACAAAGUCAAGUCAUGGAACAAGGAAAGACUAUUCCAGGGCCAAUAUGUCAAGGCACAAAAUCAUCGGAAGUGAUCUCAGCACCAUUACAUCAAGUCAUGGAUUAUGUGAAAGUAACUCCAGUAGCACUAUUACAAGCCAUGGAUUCCAUGGGGAUAAUUCCACCAGCACAGCCACAUGUUACAGAAGCUAGGGGUUUGACCCCAGGUUCACAGUUGCAGAAGGUAGAAGAUCACAGUGGUAGAAGAUCUGUUCAUCUAGUCCUACCACCAGAGUUUCAAGAUAUAAACACUGUGGAGUUGACACUAAGACCACCAAUGGAAGACACAAACUCUGCGGAGUUGGCCCCAAAGCUUCCAGGUGUAAAAUCUGUGGAGUUGACUCCAGGUUCAAGAAUUCAAGAUUUUAAAACUGAGGAGUUGGUCUCAGGUCCACAGCUGCACGAUAUGAAAGCUGUGAAAUUAAAAUCUGGGCUAAAGAUGCAAGGUGAGAAGUCUAUAGCUUUUGCACCAGCGCCAUUGCCUCAAGGGGUUAAAUCUAUGGAGAUGCUUCAAAGGCCUCAGCUACAAAGCAUGAAACCUGAGGAACCGACUUCAGUCCCACAAAUGCAAGAUAUGAAAUUUGAGGAGAUUACUCCAUGUUUAAAGCUUCAAAGUUUAAAAUCUAUAAAGGAGACUCAAGAUCCACAUUUGCAAUGUGUAAAAUCUGUAGCGUUUGCCCCAAGGCAGAAAAGACUGGUAGUACAAUCUGUGAAUGUAACCAGAGGACAAGAGUUUGAAGAAGUAAAACCUGUGGAUUUAACCCUUGAGUCGGAACAGGAUGGUCAGGUAUCUGUAAACUCACCAGAGCAGCAAUGUGUGAAUUUUGAGCAAGUAAAGAGAGGGUCUGAGUCAGAAGGUAUAAUGUCUUUGGAGUUAAUUCCAGAGUCAAAAUCUGAAGAUAUAAAAUCUGUAGACCUCAAGUCUGACCUACAGUCAAAAGGUAUAAAAUCAUCUGAAUUGACUCCAGAACCAAAUGUGCAAGAUGUAAACGCUAAAGAGUUAAAACAUGAACCACAGCUGCAAAGUCUGGACUCUCCCAAAUUGACUCCAGGACCACAGCUGCACCAAGCGAAACCCUUGGGCUCCACUGCAAAGCCACAGCUUCAACCUGUGAAAAUUGUGGAGUUAAACAAAGAGCCAGAGCUUGGAAGAAUGAAAUCUGUUCAGUGGAUAACAAGACCUGAGUUCCAAGGUGUAAAAUCUGUAGGAUUAAAUCUUGGGCCACAAUCUCGAAGUGUCAAACCUUCAAAGUUGAAACUUGCCAUGCACUUGGGAGAUAUGAUAGCAUCUAAAUUGGUUCUAGCAACAAAACUUCAAGGUGCAAAACCUAUGGAGUUUAACCUUGGGGCACAGUUGCAGUGUGUAAAAACCUCUGAGUUGUCUGCUGGACCACAACUACAAAAAGGGAAAAUUUUUGCAUCAGGCUCAAAGCCACAACUUCAAGGUUUGAAAACUGUGGAGUUAAACCAAGACUCACAGCUUGGAGGUGCAAAAUCUGUGCAGUGGAUACCAGGACCUGAGUUCCAAGAUGUAAAAACUGGAGGGCUGAAUCUUGUUUCACAAUCUCGAGGUGUCAAAUCUGCAGAGUUGAAAUCCUCCAUAGAGUCGGGAGAUGUAAAAUCAUCUGAAUUGAUUCUAGGGCCAAAAAUUCAAGGUGCAAAGCCUGUGGAGUUUAACUAUGGGCCACAGUUGCAAUUUGUGAAAACUCCUAAGUUGUCCCAAAGACCAUGGUUGCCGAAAAGGAAAAUUCUGGCAUCGACCUCAGAGCCACAGCUUCAAGGAGUAAAAUCUGUGCAGUUAAAUCAAGACUCACAGCUUGAAAGCGUGAAAUCUGUGCAGUGGGUACCAGUACCUGAGUUCCAAGGUAUGAAAUCUAUGCUAAAAUGUGGUUCACAGUCUCGAGCUGUCACACCUGUAGAAUUGAAACCUUCAAUACAAUUAAGAGAUGUCAAGUCAUCUGAGCUGACUCCAAGGCCAAAGCUCCAAAGUGUACCACCUUUGACAUCACUCCAGGAACAUCAGUUGCCAGGGUUCAAAACAAUUGAUUUGAAAUCUGGGUUACAGUUCAGAAGUGUGAAAUCCUGUGGCCCAAUUUCAACAUCAAAGCUCCAUGAUAUAAAAUCUAUGGCAUUCAGAUCUGGGCUUCAUUUGCAAGACGUGAAAUCUUCUGAGUUGACCCCAAGACCACAGCUGCACAAAGUGAAACCCUUAGAGGCAUAUCCAAGAACACGGCUGCAAGACGUGAAGUCUCUAGUGUUUACAAAAGAGCCACAGUUUUCAGGGGUGAAAUCUGGAGUAUUAAGCCAAGAGCUACAAUUGCAAAGUGAUAAAACUGCAGCGCUCCACUUCUUACUACACUUGAAAAGCACGAAAUCAUCAGAGUUGGCUCAUCAAACAAAGCUUCUAGGUAUGAAAUCUAAGGAGUUUAGCUCUGGGCCACAAUGGCAAUGUAUCAAAUCUUCUAAGGUGAACCCUAAGACAAAGUCCCAAGACAUGAAGUUUAUAGAGUUAAACCCCAGCUCACAGUUGAAAAAUAUCCCACAUUCUGAUUUGACCAUGAAGACCAAGAUUCAAGGUGUCAAAUCUACAGACUUCAAACCUGGGCCACAGUUGCAAGGGGUGAAACCUUCUGAGUCGAUAUCAAAGACAAAGCUUCAAGAAGUGAAAUUAGUGGAAUCCAACUCAGGCCCACAGUUGCAAGAUUUAAAAUCUUCUAGGUUGAUCAUGGGUAUAAAGCUUCAAGACAUUAAAUCUAUGAAUUUCAGUUCUGGACCACAUUUACAGAGUGUGAAAUCUUCUGAAAUGAUUCCAGGGGUGAAGCCUCAGGAUGUGAAAUCUGUAGACUUCAAACCUAGUCCAAAGUUACAAAGUGAGAACUCUGAUUUGACCCUGGGGAGGAAGUCUCCAGGUGUGAAAUCUGUAGAGCUGGAAUCAGGCCCACAGUUACAAGAUAUAAAAUCUGAUCUGAUCAUGGGUAUAAAGCUUCAAGAUGUAAAAUCACGCUUUCAAGAUAUAAAAUCUUCUGAGGUAAUCUCAGGGACAAGGCUUCAAAGUAUGAAAUCAAUGUAUUUCAAUUCUGGACAACAGAUACAAGGUGAAAAAUACUCUGAGUUGAUUCAAGGAACAAACUAUCAAGAUGUAAAAUCUGUAGAAUACAACCGUGCUCCGAAGUUACAAGGUGUGACAUCUUCUCAGUUAACCCUAGAGACAAAGCUUCAAGGUGGGGAUUCUGUGGAGUUCAAGUCAGGCCCACAGUGGCAAGAUAUGAAAUAUUGUAACUCAAUCAAGGGGACAGAGCUUCAAGAUGUAAAAUCUAAGGAGUUCAGUUCUGAAUCACAAUUGCAAGGCAUGAAAUCUUCUGAAGAGAUCCCAGGGCCUGAGCGAUGCCACUUUAUAAGACAAAGCUGGGUCUCCAAAAAUAAGUUGUAA
This is a long non-coding RNA of Aotus nancymaae (Ma's night monkey), 4694 nucleotides long. NCBI's taxonomy places the organism in Eukaryota, Metazoa, Chordata, Mammalia, Primates, Aotidae. The record is from Ensembl.